UGGGGAAUUUUGGACAAUGGGCGAAAGCCUGAUCCAGCAAUGCCGCGUGUGUGAAGAAGGCCUUCGGGUUGUAAAGCACUUUUGUCCGGAAAGAAAUCCUUGGCUCUAAUACAGUCGGGGGAUGGCGGUACCGGAAGAAUAAGCACCGGCUAACUACGUGCCAGCAGCCGCGGUAAUACGUAGGGUGCAAGCGUUAAUCGGAAUUACUGGGCGUAAAGCGUGCGCAGGCGGUUUGCUAAGACCGAUGUGAAAUCCCCGGGCUCAACCUGGGAACUGCAUUGGUGACUGGGCAGGCUAGAGUAUGGCAGAGGGGGGUAGAAUUCCACGUGUAGCAGUGAAAUGCGUAGAGAUGUGGAGGAAUACCGAUGGCGAAGGCAGCCCCCUGGGCCAAUACUGACGCUCAUGCACGAAAGCGUGGGGAGCAAAGCAGGAUUAGAUACCCCUGGUAGUCCACGCCCUAAACGAUGUCAACUAGUUGUUGGGGAUUCAUUUCCUUAGUAACGUAGCUAACGCGUGAAGUUGACCGCCUGGGGGAGUACGGUCGCAAGAUUAAAACUCAAAUGAAUUGAC
RNAcentral lists this ribosomal RNA (570 nucleotides) under uncultured bacterium. RNAcentral's name for it is "partial 16S ribosomal RNA". It matches the Rfam family "Bacterial small subunit ribosomal RNA", at positions 355 to 914 of the family's 1533-position model. The record is from RNAcentral.